RNAcentral lists this ribosomal RNA (476 nucleotides) under uncultured bacterium. RNAcentral describes it as "partial 16S ribosomal RNA". It matches the Rfam family "Bacterial small subunit ribosomal RNA", at positions 28 to 523 of the family's 1533-position model. The record is from RNAcentral.
GACGAACGCUGGCGGCGUGCUUAACACAUGCGAGUCGAACGAUGAAGCCUUCGGGUGGAUUAGUGGCGAACGGGUGAGUAACACGUGGGUGAUCUGCCCUGCACUUUGGGAUAAGCCUGGGAAACUGGGUCUAAUACCGAAUAUGAUCAUGCUCUUCAUGGGGUGUGGUGGAAAGCUUUUGCGGUGUGGGAUGGGCCCGCGGCCUAUCAGCUUGUUGGUGGGGUAAUGGCCUACCAAGGCGACGACGGGUAGCCGGCCUGAGAGGGUGACCGGCCACACUGGGACUGAGAUACGGCCCAGACUCCUACGGGAGGCAGCAGUGGGGAAUAUUGCACAAUGGGCGCAAGCCUGAUGCAGCGACGCCGCGUGAGGGAUGACGGCCUUCGGGUUGUAAACCUCUUUCAGCAGGGACGAAGCGAAAGUGACGGUACCUGCAGAAGAAGGACCGGCCAACUACGUGCCAGCCGCCGCAGUAA